GUAGUAUGUAUGUAUGAAUGUAGUUUUAUCACCGACAAGAUGGCGGGGGGUGCGGGCUCCAGAGGAGUCACAGCCCUCACCCGGCGUAGCCGCACCUACGUCACCGCCCUGUCCCGGGAUCCGCCCGGCGGGCUGCGCUCACCCACCCACAGACUGCAGAAGAGGCAUCGGGUGUAGUAGCAGCGAUGUCUCCCGUACCAGGGUCCCAGGCUCGGCAGGCGGCUCCAUGGAGGAUAGCUCGCAGCGCCGACAUUCUAACAUCUGAGGUGCCUUUGGCAAGUUCUGGUAGCAAGGUGGCUACCGGUGAGGGAGGGCACCCAGAAUACAUUGCCUUCUACUUGGUUCCAAUCUUCUUCAUCAUGGGCCUAGCGGGAGUACUGAUCUGCCACAUUCUGAAGAAAAAAGGCUAUCGCUGCACUACAGCUGAGCCUGAGACGGAGGAGAAAAUCACCGGGGAGAAGAUCGAGAUGCAAGAUUCUUUGGCAGACACAAACAAUGAUACGGUCGGACAAAUUGUAAGCUACAUAAUGAAAAAUGAAGCAAAUGCUGAUAUUUUGAAAGCUAUGGUCGCUGACAGUUCCAUGGUGGCAGAUAACAGCCUGUAUGAUCCAGAGACCCCUAACACACCAAACACUCCUAAUACUCCAGUGAGUCCUACAAGUCCAGGAAGUCCAACCUCGCCUGGCGGAACACCCCUCAAACACUCGUGCCACGGAAACCACUUUCACACUGUUGGGGGCGUGGCUGAGAAAAAUGUCUGCAGCCGCUGCAACAACAAGCGGUGGAACUUCAAGUCGCCACAGAAACACAAAGAGCCGAAGAAGAACCGUCAAGGCGCUGUCACAGUCCUGGCUGUGGGAAGGUUCCGAGUCACCAAGGUAGAGCCAAAGUCCAAAGAGCGGAAACGCCUAAUGUCUGAGGGGACGGAAGCGACAAACGGUGAAGUACCUACUACACCGGUCACUGUGAAUACCAGACAUAGAAGCGGCACAGAAACAGAGAAUCAUAGCACGGUGGAGACCUGAAGUGUGAGGGUGUGCUCUCAUGCUUUGCCAGCCAUUUACCAAGUAAAGCCCUUCAUCCACCAAUCUCUCAGUGCCAGCAGAGAUGGUGCCUCAUUCCUUUGGGCCUUGAGAAGAUUUUAGAACGCCUAUAUAAGCGGAGAUGUCCGGGUGUAUGAGCUGCAUACAGGAAGCAUGGGUCUUCUCAUUUUAGUAGUACAGAAAUAAGAUAAAACAAAGUCAUUUUGUUACAUUUUUAGCAGUGUGCAUCUGUAGAGGAAACUAUUUUUAUAAUAAAUAGAGAAAAGUCUGAGUGACUUACUACACAAAAUAGAGAUGUUACUAAUAACAUACAAGGUGACAAAUGGAUUUAUGUAUGCUAUUAGUGUCAUGGUAUAUUUAGGGGUUGGGUAUGAGAUGCUGGUGGUCAAAAUACCGACGCUGGUAUCCCAAUGCUGAAGAUCCCGACAGGGGUGAGUUAAGUAUUGUAACUCACCCCCAUAACCCUAUCCUCCUGCAUUAGUGCCUAAGCAUAACCUCCCCAGUCAGUGCCUAAACCUAACCCCCCACACCCCGCAGUCUAACCCCCCCUGGUGGUGGUUAACUCUAUUCCUCCCCCCCUUCCUCCCAGCAGCCUAACCCUAACCUCCCUACCCCCGUAGCCUUACCCUAACCCCCCCUGGGUGGCAGCUAAAGCAUUGUAACUCUCCACCCCCUUAACCCUAACCAUCUGCGUUAGUGGCUGACCCUAACCUGCCUGUAGUUCCUAAACCUAACAACCCACACCCCGCAGUCUUAAAGCUUAAGCUCCCCCCCCUCCCCCCUCCUUGCAGCCUGACCCUUUAACCCUAACCCCCCAUCCCCACUGGUGGCAGCUAAAGCAAACUCCCCCCACCCCCUUCCCCUGCGGCCUAACACUAACCCUCCCAGCUAUAUUUGUCUUUGGGUUUCCGGGAUGUCUGGAUUCCGGCGUCGGGAUCCUGACAAUUUCUGAGUUUCGGCGUCUGUGUUCUGACUGGUGUCGGGAUUCUGGCGUCGGGAUUUCGGCUGCAGGAAUGACGACAGCCGGGAUCUUGAACUUAACCCAUAUUUAGAACACUAUUUGAGUACAGGAAGGCAGUUGUCACCUUGUUUAGUGUGUGUUAAGUUUCUAGACUAAUAUGUUAUUUUUAGAAGUAGAUGUCUCGGCCUCCAGACUUCUCAUUGUGACCUGGCUGCAUUGUUCUACAUUGCUGGCCUUACUUGGCCGGUAGUCUUUAGUUAUGUGAUGUGAAAUAGGAACCUUUUUUAAUGUCAAAUUAUAUGACAAAUAUCCAUGGGACCAGUAUUUAUAAUUCAGGGUAGGUGAUGGGCAAAUACAGGAUGUGACAUGUGUCUGACACUUGUUUGUGUUUUAUUACUCAUGUGCAAUAGUUUAUUGAGUUCCUUUAAAAUAUAUUCACAUGGAGGUUUGUUUUUUUGCUUGCUUCAUAUACAUGUCCAGCGUUAUGAUGAGCCAAAUCUAACCGGUCCUGAUUUGGCAAAGAUGCAGAUAUUUUGGUGGUGUUGCAGCGCGGUCAGAAGCGGCAAUUUCUUUAAAGAUAACCCCAGGUUGGGUUAGUCAUUGCAGCUUUACUUUCUGCUGCAAAAUUGCUGAAAAAUCUGCACUUUUGCCAAAUCGAUAGCAGUUGCAUCUGGCCCACGAUACCUUUUGUUUGAUAGCAUUUGUGUUAUCUAAGGGGUAUAUUUACUAAAGUGCUGGUUUAUAGUAGUGGAUAUGUUGGCCAUAGCAACCAAUCAGAUUAUAGCUACUAUCUUCUAGAAGGUGCAAGAUAAAUAAGUAGCAUUUGAUUGGUUGCUAUGGGCAACAUAUCUACUUUUGUAAACCCUCAUUUUAGUAAAUAUGUCGCUAGUAUUUUUUCUCCUUUUACUCAUAUCAUCCGUUAAGAUUUUAUUUUUAUCAGUGAAUAUUUGGUUGUUUGUACACCGUGUCAUUAAAUGGACUUUUUUAUUA
Molecule: RNA transcript, 2994 nt
Organism: Pseudophryne corroboree (corroboree frog)
Lineage: Eukaryota; Metazoa; Chordata; Amphibia; Anura; Myobatrachidae
Gene: RELL1
Gene name: RELT like 1
Exons: 9
Source: RefSeq, a predicted model, not a curated record